This 500-nucleotide ribosomal RNA is filed under the name uncultured microorganism. Its description in RNAcentral is "bacterial SSU rRNA". It matches the Rfam family "Archaeal small subunit ribosomal RNA", at positions 234 to 734 of the family's 1478-position model. The record is from RNAcentral.
AGUGGGUGUAACGUACCCACUAGCCUACGACGGGUACGGGUUGUGAGAGCAAGAGCCCGGAGAUGGAUUCUGAGACAUGAAUCCAGGCCCUACGGGGUGCAGCAGGCGCGAAAACUUUACAAUGCGGGCAACCGCGAUAAGGGGACCUCGAGUGCUGGGUUACAAACCUGGCUGUUGGGCUGCCUAAAAAGCAGUCUAUAGCAAGGGCCGGGCAAGACCGGUGCCAGCCGCCGCGGUAACACCGGCGGCUCGAGUGGUAACCGCUGUUAUUGGGUCUAAAGGGUCUGUAGCCUGCCGGCUAAGUCUCUUGGGAAAUCUGGCAUCUCAAGUGUCAGGCUGCCAGGGGAUACUGGUCAGCUUGGGACCGGGAGAGGUGAGAGGUACCUCAGGGGUAGGGGUGAAAUCUUGUAAUCCUUGAGGGACCACCAGUGGCGAAGGCGUCUCACCAGAACGGAUCCGACGGCAAGGGACGAAAGCUAGGGGUACGAACCGGAUUAGAU